GGGCUGUGAAGAUGUUUGCGCAUCUGGGAUGGUAGGGUCCAUCACCAUCAUCUGCAAACUGAUGAUAAACCGCGCAGCUGAGCUC
RNAcentral lists this small nucleolar RNA (85 nucleotides) under Cephalotus follicularis. Its description in RNAcentral is "small nucleolar RNA snoR114". It matches the Rfam family "small nucleolar RNA snoR114". The record is from Rfam by way of RNAcentral. Lineage: Eukaryota; Viridiplantae; Streptophyta; Magnoliopsida; Oxalidales; Cephalotaceae.